Molecule: ribosomal RNA, 710 nt
Filed under: uncultured bacterium
Lineage: Bacteria
Description: bacterial SSU rRNA
Rfam family: Bacterial small subunit ribosomal RNA
Source: RNAcentral
AGCGGCGGACGGGUGAGUAACGCGUGGGUAACCUGCCCUGUACACACGGAUAACAUACCGAAAGGUAUGCUAAUACGAGAUAAUAUGCUUUUAUCGCAUGGUAGAAGUAUCAAAGCUUUUGCGGUACAGGAUGGACCCGCGUCUGAUUAGCUAGUUGGUAAGGUAACGGCUUACCAAGGCGACGAUCAGUAGCCGACCUGAGAGGGUGAUCGGCCACAUUGGAACUGAGACACGGUCCAAACUCCUACGGGAGGCAGCAGUGGGGAAUAUUGCACAAUGGGCAAAAGCCUGAUGCAGCAACGCCGCGUGAGCGAUGAAGGCCUUCGGGUCGUAAAGCUCUGUCCUCAAGGAAGAUAAUGACGGUACUUGAGGAGGAAGCCCCGGCUAACUACGUGCCAGCAGCCGCGGUAAUACGUAGGGGGCUAGCGUUAUCCGGAAUUACUGGGCGUAAAGGGUGCGUAGGUGGUUUCUUAAGUCAGAGGUGAAAGGCUACGGCUCAACCGUAGUAAGCCUUUGAAACUGGGAAACUUGAGUGCAGGAGAGGAGAGUGGAAUUCCUAGUGUAGCGGUGAAAUGCGUAGAUAUUAGGAGGAACACCAGUUGCGAAGGCGGCUCUCUGGACUGUAACUGACACUGAGGCACGAAAGCGUGGGGAGCAAACAGGAUUAGAUACCCUGGUAGUCCACGCCGUAAACGAUGAGUACUAGCUGU